Molecule: ribosomal RNA, 193 nt
Filed under: uncultured rumen bacterium
Lineage: Bacteria
Description: partial 16S ribosomal RNA
Rfam family: Bacterial small subunit ribosomal RNA
Source: RNAcentral
UACGGGAGGCAGCAGUGGGGAAUCUUCCGCAAUGGGCGAAAGCCUGACGGAGCAACGCCGCGUGAGUGAAGAAGGUCUUCGGAUCGUAAAGCUCUGUUGUUGGGGACGAAUGUUACCUUUGAGAACAUUGGAGGUAAAUGACGGUACCUAACGAGGAAGCCACGGCUAACUACGUGCCAGCAGCCGCGGUAAU